Molecule: ribosomal RNA, 253 nt
Filed under: uncultured bacterium
Lineage: Bacteria
Description: partial 16S ribosomal RNA
Rfam family: Bacterial small subunit ribosomal RNA
Source: RNAcentral
UACGUAGGGUGCAAGCGUUAAUCGGAAUUACUGGGCGUAAAGCGUGCGCAGGCGGUUUUUGAAGCCAGAUGUGAAAGCCCCGGGCUUAACCUGGGAAUGGCAUUUGGGACUGCAAGGCUUGAGUGCGGCAGAGGAGACUGGAAUUCCCGGUGUAGCAGUGAAAUGCGUAGAUAUCGGGAGGAAUACCGAUGGCGAAGGCAGGUCUCUGGGCUGACACUGACGCUCAUGCACGAAAGCGUGGGGAGCAAACAGG